UACGGAGGGGGCUAGCGUUGUUCGGAAUUACUGGGCGUAAAGCGCACGUAGGCGGCUUUGUAAGUUAGAGGUGAAAGCCCGGGGCUCAACUCCGGAAUUGCCUUUAAGACUGCAUCGCUAGAAUUGUGGAGAGGUAAGUGGAUUUCCGAGUGUAGAGGUGAAAUUCGUAGAUAUUCGGAAGAACACCAGUGGCGAAGGCGACUUACUGGACACAUAUUGACGCUGAUGCGCGAAAGCUAGGGGAGCAAACAGG
This 253-nucleotide ribosomal RNA is filed under the name uncultured bacterium. RNAcentral's name for it is "partial 16S ribosomal RNA". It matches the Rfam family "Bacterial small subunit ribosomal RNA", at positions 524 to 776 of the family's 1533-position model. The record is from RNAcentral.